GAUGAAGAACGUAGUGAAAUGCGAUAAGUAAUGUGAAUUGCAGAAUUCAGUGAAUCAUCGAAUCUUUGAACGCACAUUGCGCCCGCCAGUAUUCUGGCGGGCAUGCCUGUUCGAGCGUCAUUACAACCCUCAAGCCCCCCGGCUUGGUGUUGGGGACCGGCCACCGGUGCCCUGCUGCUUCCGCGGCAGGCGCACCCGGCCGCCCCCGAAAUGAAUUGGCGGCCCCGUCGCGGCCUCCCUCUGCGUAGUAGCACACAUCUCGCAGCUGGAGCGCGGCGCGGCCACUGCCGUAAAACGCACCAACUUUUUUUACAGUUGACCUCGAAUCAGGUAGGAAUACCCGCUGAUCUUAAGCAUAUCAAUAAGCGGAGGA
This 373-nucleotide unclassified non-coding RNA is filed under the name soil metagenome. RNAcentral's name for it is "partial contains 5.8S ribosomal RNA, internal transcribed spacer 2, and large subunit ribosomal RNA". The stretch from base 1 to 120 matches the Rfam family "5.8S ribosomal RNA", at positions 35 to 154 of the family's 154-position model. The record is from RNAcentral.